GUUGACAGACUGGAGCGCAGCGGAGACCUCGGCAUCUGCGGUGCUCGGGAUUGUGUCCCCUACGGUCUCUUACCGUGCCUCCCGAUGGCGGGAGCUGGAAUUUGGUCCCCAGACCCCUUGGGAAGACGCGCACACCCUGGCAAACCAUGUGUACACCCGCGGUAGAAGCAGGUGCGUGUUUUACAGUAGCUUAGCUGCGGAGUCCACCCAGCCCCUGGCAUCCGCAGCUCGGCUCGCUCAGGCUCUAGACCGAAGCUGCAGGCGAAGGAACGUGCUUGGGUCUUGCUCUGUGGCCCAGCAGUGCGAUCCUAGCUCACUGCAGACUCGACCUCCCGGGCUGAAGCGAUCUUCUCACCUCAGCCUCCCGAGUAGCUGGGACCACAGGCGCACACCCAAUGCUUGGCUAAUUUUUAAAUUUUAAAACAGAGACAGGGUCUUGCUAUGUUGCCCAGGCUGGUCUGGAACUCCUGGCCUCAAGCAAUUCUCCUGCCUCGGCCUCCCAAAGUGCUGUGAUUACAGGCAUGCGCCACGGUUCCCAGCCAUUUCUACUUUUUCUUUGAGAAGGAGUUUUACUCUUGUUGCCCAGGCUGGAGUGCAAUGGCGCUAUCUCGGCUUGCCCAGGCUGGAGUGCAAUGGCGCUAUCUAGGCUCACCGCAACCUUCGCCUCCCAGGUUCAAGCGAUUCUCCUGCCUCAGCCUCCCAAGUAGCUGGGAUUACAGGCAUGAGCCACCAUGCCCGUCUAAUUUUGUAUUUUUAGUAGAGACGGGGUUUCUCCAUAUUAAGUCAGGCUGGUCUCGAACUCCCGACCUCAGGUGAUCCUCCCGCCUCAGCCUCCCAAAGUGCUGGGAUUACAGGCGUGAGCCACGGCGCCCGGCCCUGCCAUUUCUACUUAUUUACGUUGUUCCAAAUUAUCAAAGAUAGCAUCAACUUUCAAAUCCUAAUUUUUUUUUUCCUGGGAAACCUUCCUCCUUUAGCCUUCAGUCUCCUCUCUAAACUGGGUUGGGCCUCAGUUCUUCUCAUACCGGGUCUCCCCUUCCUGCUGUCCUGGGUUGUAUCUUCCGCUUCCUAGAUUUAAGGUCUUUAUUUUUCAGCCAAGAUGGGUCAUCCUCAUGGCUGGUGGCAUUGGACUGUAAAUACUAGUUGCCUUCAUCCCCACAUUUGGAAUAUACCUGCAAUCAUACAGGAUGCAGAAUACUGUUUGCUAAGCGUGGGGCUGGUUGCUGGAGAUAACAAGCAAGGCCUACCAGGUCCCUGCUGUCAUUCUGGCUCUGGAUCUACUUGCUUGGCUCCCCUGCCAGCCCUAGUAUAUCGAGCCUUCCUUUUUAUUCAAUAGUGUUUUUUAUUGCUGACUUUUCAGUCAAGAUUUCUUUGUGUUUUCUGGCCUACCCUUGCUGUUUUUCACCUGAAAUGCUUUUUGGCUUUUAGUGUGACUCCUGCUGAUCUCAUAUGCAUAUGUUAUUAAUUGAUUAAUUAUUAAUUGUUAAUAAUUAAAUAUUAUUAAUAUGCUUACAUUAUUACCUUGAGUUCUGGAACUGCCUCACUGCACUCCAUGUGGUGAAUACUGUAGAAAUUAUAUAAGGAAAAAUAUAUCCUUAGAAAUGAGUAUUUUUUAAAUUUUGAAAAUAUUUAAUUUAGGCCCAGCCCAGUUGCUCACACCUGUAAUCUCAGCACUUUGGGAGGCUGAGGUGGGCAGAUUGCUUUAGGCCAGAAGUUAGAAACCAGCAUGGGCAACAUGCUGAAACUCCAUCUCUACUAAAAAUACAAAAAUUGGCCAGGUCUGGUGGUGCACACCUGUAGUCCCAGCUACUCAGGAGGCUGAGGCACAAGAAUUCCUUGAACCCAGGAAGCAGAGGUUGCAGUGAGCAAGAUCAUGCCACUGCACUUCAACCUGCGUGACAGAGUGAGACCCCGUCUCAAAAAGAAAAAAAAAUUGGGCUGGGCACAGUGGCUUGUGCCUGUAAUCCCAACACUUUGGGAGGCCAAGGCGGGAGGAUCACCUGAGGUCAGGAGUUCGAGACCAGCCUGGCCAACAUGGCAAAACCCCGUCUGUACUAAAAAUACAAAAAUUAGCUGGGUGUGGAGUCGGACGCCUGUAGUCCCAGCUACUCAGGAGGCUGAGGCACAAGAAUGGCUUGAACUCAGGAGGCAGAGGUUGCAGUGAGCCAAGAUCACACCAUUGCACUCCAGCCUGUGUGACAGAGCAAGACUCCAUCUAAAAAAAAAAAAAACAAACAAAACAAAAAAUAUAUUGAUACACAAAAUUUUUACAUAUUUAUGGAGUUCAUGUGAUAUUUUGCUUUUCUUCAUACAUAGAAUGUACAAUAAUCAAGUCAGGAUAUUUAAGGUAUCAAUCACUUUGAGUAUUUAACAUUUCUAUGUGUUGGGAAAAUUUCAAGUCCUCUCUUCUAGCUAUGGAAAUUUACAGUACUUUGUUAACUACAGUCACCCUACUCUGCUAUUGAACAUUACAAGUUAUCCCUUCUUCCUAAGUGUAUGUUUGUACCCAUUACCCAACUUCUCUUCAUCCACCUCUCCCACCCACGUACACCCUUCCAAUCUCUGGUAUCAUUCUACUCUCUACCUCCAUGAGAUCAACUUUUCUAGCUCCCACAUGUAAGUGAGGACAUGUGAUAUUUGCCUUUCUGUGUCUGGCUUAUUCACUUAACAUAAUGACCUCCAGUUCCAUCCAUGCUGUAAACAUGAUUUCAUUUUUUAUGGCUUAAGUCCACUGUGUAUAUAUAUCAUAUUUUCUUUAUUCAUUUGUCCCCUGAUCAACACUUAGGUUGAUUCCAUAUCUUUGCUAUUGUAAACACGGCUCUACAGUAAACACGGAGAUGCAGGUUAUCUUUUUUAUAUACUGAUUUCUUUUCCUUUGGAUAAAUUCCAGGUAGUGGGAUUGCUGGAUCACAUGGUAGUUCUUUUUUUUUUUUUUUGAGACGGAGUUUUGCUUUUGUUGUCUAGGUUGGAGUGCAAUGCCCUGGUCUCGGCUCAUUGCAGCCUCUGCCUCCCAGGUUCAAGUGAUUUUCCUGCCUCAGCCUCACAAGUAGCUGGGAUUACAGGCACCCUCCAUCACACCCAGCUAAAUUUUGUAUUUUUAGUAGAGAAGGGGUUUUGCCAUGUUGGCUAGGCUAUUGUGAACUUCUGACCUCUGGUGAUCGACCAGCCUUGGCCUCCCAAAGUGCUGGGAUUACAGGUGUGAGUCACCAUGCCCAGCCCACAUGGUAGUUCUGUUUUUGUUUUUUUCAGACAUCUCCAUAUUGUUUUCAGUAGUGGCUGUACUAACUUACGUUCCCACCAACAGUGUGUAGGAGUUCCCUUCUCUUUUUUUUUCUUUUUUUUUUUGGAGAAGGAGUUUCACUCUUGUUGCCCAGGCUGGAGUGCAAUGGCACAAUCUUGGCUCACCACAACUUCUGCCACCAGGGUUCAAGCGAUUCUCCUGCCUCAGCCUCCCAAGUAGCUGGGAUUACAGGCGCGUGCCACCACUCCUGACUAAUUUUGCAUUUUUAGUAGAGAUGAGGUUUCUCCAUGUUGGUCAGGCUGAUCUUGAACUCCCGACCUCAGGUGAUCCACCCACCUCAGCCUCCCAAAAUGCUGGGAUUACAGGCGUGAGCCACUGCGCCCAGUCAAGAGUUGCCUUCUCUUAGCAUCCUUGCCAAUACCUGUCAUGUUUUGUCUUCUUAAUAACAGCCAUUCUAACUAAGGUACGAUAAUAUCUCAUUGUGUGCUUUUUUGUUUUUGAGUCAGUCUCGCUCUGCAGCCUAGGCUGGAGUGCAGUGGCGCAACCUCAGCUCACUGCAACCUCCCCCUCCUGGGUUCAACCGAUUCUCCUGCCUCAGCCUCCUGAGUAGCUGGGAUUACAUACGUGCACCACCAUGCCCAGCUAAUUUUUUUGUUUGUUUGAGAUGGAGUCUCGCUCUGUUGCCCAGGCUGGAGUGCAGUGGCGCGAUCUUGGCUCACUGCAAGCUCCGCUUCCCGGGCUAACGCCAUUCUCCCGCCUCAGCCUCUGGAGUAGCUGGCACUACAGGUGCCCGCCACCACGCCGGCUAAUUUUUUGUAUUUUUAGAAGAGAUGGGGUUUCAUUGUGUUAGCCAGGAUGAUCUCGAUCUCCUGACCUCAUGAUCCACCCACCUCGGCCUCCCAAAGUGCUGGGAUUACAGGCGUGAGCCACCGCGCCCAGCCACCCAGCUAAUUUUUGUAUUUUUAGUAGAGAUGGAGUUUCACCAUGUUGGGAAGGCUGAUCUCAAACUCCUGACCUCAGGUGAUCCGCCCACCUCGGCCUCCUAAGCUGCUGGGAUUAUAGGCGUGAGCCACCAGGCCGGCUUCAUUGUAGUUCUGAUUUGCAUUUCCCUGAUGAUUAGUGGUGUUGAGCAUUUUUUCAUGUACCUGUUGACCAUCUGCAUGUUUUAUUUUGAUUCUCCUUCUAUUAUGAUUAUUAUUAUUAAUUAUCAUUAUUAUUGAGACAGGUUCUCACUCUGUCACACAGGCUGGAGUGCAGUGGUAUGAUCACAGCUCACUGCAGCCUCAACCUCCCUGGGUUCAGGUGAUCCUCCCACCUCAGCCUUCAAGUCGUUGGAACUAGAAGUGUGCAACACCAUGCCUGGCUAAUUUUCGUUUUUGUAGAGAUGGGGUCUCUCCAUGAUACCCAGGCUGGUCUGGAACUCCUGGGCUCAAGUGAUCCUCCCACCUCAGCCUCCCAAAGUGCUAGGAUUACAGGUGUGGACCACCAUGCCCAGCCUAUUAUUGUCAUUUUGAAACAGAGUCUCACUCUGUCACCCAGGUUGGGGUGCAGUGGCAAGAUCAAAGCUCACUGCAGCCUGGAACUCUUGGGCUCAAGUGAUCUAUGCUCCCACUUCCACCUCCUGAGUAGCUAAGACUACAGGUGAGUGGCUAUUUGGAUUCUCCUUUUAAACAGAGUAGCAACUUGAACCAAAAAUACUUUUGUUUCUUCAGAUCCUAUGUUGUAAAUCACUUCUCUUUGAACUAAGUAUGCAGAAGACUUAAGAAGAUGAAGCUGAACAAUAAAAAUAUUAACUAAACAGAUUGAAAGAAACUUUUUUUUUUUUUUUUUUAGAUGGAGUCUCGCUCUGUCGCCAGGCUGGAGUGCAGUAGUGGGAUCUUGGCUCACUGCAACCUCCAACUCCCUGGUUCAAGCGAUUCUCUUGCCUCAGCCUCCUGAGUAGCUGGGAUUACAGGCACGCAUCACCACACCCAGUUUUUGUAUUUUUAGCAGAGACAGGGUUUCACCAUGUUGGCCAGGAUGCUCUUGAUCUCCUGACCUCGUGAUCCGCCUGCCUUGGCCUCCCAAAGUGCUGGAAUUACAGACAUGAGCCACUGCACACUGUACCCGGCCUGUGGUUUUUUUUUUUUUUUAAGACAGAGUCUCACUCUGUGGCCAAGGCUGGAGUGCAGUGGUACAAUCUCGGCUCACUGCAACCUCUGCCUCCCGAGUUCAAGCAAUUCUCGUGCCUCAGCCUCCCAAGUAGCUGAAAACAGCACAACCUGCUAAUUUUUGUAUUUUUAGUAGAGAUGGGGUUUUGCCAUGUUGGCCAGGCUGGUCUCAAACUCCUGGCUUCAAGUGAUCCACCGUCCUCGGCCUCCCAAAGUGCUGGGAUUACAGGUAUGAGCCAUAGCGCCAGGCCUGAAACAAACUUUCAAGUAAGACUAAAACUGUUCCGUGUAGCUGAUGAGUUGUUUUUCCUGCCACUCAUUAUAAAAAUACAAAAAUUGGCCGGGCACAGUGGCUAACACCUGUAAUCCUACCACUUUGGGAGGCUCAGAUAGACAGAUCACUUGAGCCCAUGAGUUCAAGACCAGCCUGGGCAAAACCCCAUCUGUACAAAAAAUACAAAAAUUAGCUGGGCAUAGUGGCAUAUGCCUGUAGUCCCAGUUACUCAAGAGGCUGAGAUGAGAACGAGAAACACCUGAGCCCAGGAGGUCGAGGCUGCAGUGAGCCGUGACUGUGCCACUGCAUUCCAGCCUAGGCUAUAGUGAGACCCUGUCUCAAGAAAUAACAAGAACAACAAAAUGCUCUUGCUUUCAAAUUAUUUUAUUGCCCAUCAAAUUGUAAAUGUUUCUUCAAGACUCUUGAUCAGAUAAUUAUGAGAAGUCACACAACAUACAGGAGAUGACUGGGCUUCAAUCGACUUUACUUGUCAAUAACAGAGUACAACUGAACUUUAAGUGGGAGCUGAAUUUCUUUCUUUCUUUUUUGAAACAGAGUUCCACUCUUGUUGCCCAGGCUGGAGUGCAAUGGCACGAUCUUGGCUCACUGCAACCUCCGCCUCCUGGGGUCAAACGAUUCUCCUGCCUCAGCCUCCCGAGUAGCUGUGAUUACAGGCAUGUGCCACCAUGCCUGGCUAAUUUUGUAUUUCUUUUUUUUUAGUAGAGACAGGGUUUCUCCAUGUUCGUCAGGCUGGUCUCAAACUCCUGACCUCAGGUGAUCUGCCCACCUUGGCCUACCAAAGUGCUGGGAUUACAGGUGUGAGCCACUGCGCCUGGCUCUUUUUUUUUUUUAAUAGUGUCUUGCUGUUACUCAGACUGAAGUGGCGCCAUCAUAGCUCACUAUAGCCUCAAACUCCUGGGCUCAAGCUAUCCUCCUUCUUCACCCUCCCCCACCAUGCUCGGCUAAUUUUUAAAAUUUUUAGUAGAAAUGAGGUCUUGCUGUUUUCCAGGCUCGUCUCAAACUCCCAAUCUCAUGCAAUCCUCCUGCCUCAGCCUCCCAAAGUGCUGGGAUUACAGGUGUGAGCCACUGUACCCAGCUGAGAGCUUAAGUUUCUUGCAUAAAACUCAGCUGUAUGCUGAAGUGUUUAGAAGUGAAAUGUAAUGAUGUCUGCAACUUACUUUGAAAUACAUUAAUAAAAUGGAUAAAUGAAUGGAUAGAGGGAUGGAUAGGCAGAUUGACAUGUGUAAAACAAAUAGAGAAAAAUGUUAUUUGUAGAAUCUAGGUGAUGCUAAAGGCCACACAGCCAGUGGGGACUGAGCCAAGCUAGGAAUCCAGGUCCACCAAUUCAGGAGAGGCUAUGUGGUGAAGUAAAGAUAACACCCCGUUCCCAGUUUUUGUAUCUGUUUUUGUUUUGAGACAGAGUCCUGCUUUGUAGCCCAGGCUGGAGUGCAAUGGAGCCAUCUCAGCUUACUGCAACCUCUGUCUCCCAGGCUCAAGUGAUCCUCUUGCCUUAGCCUCCUGAGUAGCUGGGACUACAGGCAUGUGCCACCACGCCUGGCUAAUUUUUUGGUAGAGAUGGGGUUUCACUAUAUUGCCCAGCUGGUCUCAAACUCCUGACCUCAAGUGAUUAACCAGCCUCAGCCUCCCACAGUGCUGGGAUCACAGGUGUGAGCCACCGUGCCCGGCACCAGUUCCCAUUAAUUAUCUUGGAACCCAAGGAUUCAAAGAAGCAGUCUUUUCAAAGAGAUAUUUGAGUCACUGACCACCAGUCCUGGAAUGCAGAAAUGCUUAGUCCCACCUACCUCUUUUGUUCAUUCCUUCAAAAGUUUCCUCUUCAAAAGUAGGGCUAGCAGAUCUAAAUGGGCCAGAAAGAACUCUCUUAACUGUUGUUUUUUGUUUUGUUUUGUUUUUUGAGACUGGAGUCUCACUUUGUCGCCCAGGCUGGAGUGCAGUGGCGCGAUCUCAGCUCACUGCAAGCUCCGCCUCCCGGGUUCAUGCCAUUCUCCUGCCUCAGCCUCCCCAGUAGCUGGGACUACAGACGCCCGCCACCAUGCCCGGAUAAUUUUUUGUAUUUUUAGUAGAGAUGGGGUUUCACUGUGUGAGCCAGGAUGGUCUUGAUCUCCUGACCUCGUGAUCCACCCACCUCAGCCUCCCAAAGUGCUGGGAUUACAGGCGUGAGCCACCACACCAGGCCUUUUUUUUUUUUUUUUUUUGAGAUAGAGUCUUGCUCUGUUGCCCAGGCUGGAGUGCAGUGGCGCUAUGUUGGCUCACUGCAACCUCCACCUCCUGGGUUCAAGCCAUUCUUCUGCCUCAGCCUCCCAAGAAGCUGGGAUUACAGGUGCACGCCACCAGGCCUGGCUAAUUUUUUUUUUUUUUUUUUGAGACGGAGUCUCGCUCUGUCACCCAGGCUGGAGUGCAGUGGCGCAGUCUCGGCUCACUGCAAGCUCCGCCUCCCGGGUUCACGCCAUUCUCCUGCCUCAGCCUCCCAAGUAGCUGGGACUACAGGCACCUGCCACCACUCCUGGCUAAUUUUUUUGUAUUUUUAGUACAGACGGGGUUUCACCAUGUUAGCCAGGAUGGUCUCGAUCUUCUGACCUCGUGAUCUGCCCGCCUCGGCUUCCCAAAGUGCUGGGAUUACAGGUGUGAGCCAACGUGCCUGGCCGUUUUUUUUUUUUUUUUUGGUAUUUUUAGUAGAGAUGGGGUUUCACCAUAUUGGCCAGGCUGGUCUUGAACUCUUGACCUUAAGUGAUCCACCCUCCUCAGCCUCCCAAACUGCUAGGAUUACAGGCGUGAGCCACCGCGCCUGGCCUUCAUAACUGUUGACAUACAAGCAUUACAGUAAAAAUUAGACUGGAAAGACUAUGCCUUGAUUUCAACUUUAAUCACAAUUAAUUUAUUCUUUCUUUAAAAAAAAAAUGUAAUCCCAGAACUUUGGGAGGCCAAGUCGGGUGGAUCACCUGAGGUCAGGAAUUGGAGACCAGCCUGGCCAACAUGGUGAAACCUGUCUCUAGUAAAAAUGCAAUUAGCCAGGCAUGGUCGUGGGUGCCUGUAAUCCCAGCUACUCAAGAGGCUGGGGCAGGAGAAUCGCUUGAACCUAGGAGGCGGAGGUUGCAGUGAGCCAAGAUCAUGCCAUUGCACUCUAGCCUGGGCAACAAGAGCGAAACUCCAUCUCAAAAAAAAAAAGAGGCUGGGUGCAGUGGCUCACGCCUGUAAUCCCAGCACUUUGGGAGGCCGAGGCGGGAGGAUCACGAAGUCAGGAGAUCGAGACCAUCCUGGCUAACACGGUGAAACCCCCGUCUCUACUAAAAAUACAAAAUAUUAGUUGGGCGUGGUGGCGGGUGCUUGUAAUUCCAGCUACUCGGGAGACUGAAGCAGGAGAAUGGUGUGAACCCAGGAGGUGGAGCUUGCAGUGAGCGUAGCUUGGGCCACUGCACUCCAGCCCAGGCAAUAGAGACAGACUCUGUCUCAAAAAAAAAAAAAAAAAAAAGAAUCCUCCGGCAUUAUAUCUCCAGCUACUGUGGCCCAAGAAUAUAUCUUUAUCAAAAAAUACAAAAUCCAGGGAACAUGCAAAUAUCUGAAGAAGAAAAAAACACUGCAAUCACUAAUGCAUACAGUGAAGAGUUGGCCCAGUUCCAGAGUCCGCUAUGUUUGAUAGUUUGUGCACUUGCAGAAUGAGAGUGGGGGGGGAGUUCCCCACCUGAGGCCACUGUCCUCUCUAUGGCCACCUCUAGGUCUUCAAGACCAAGGAACACCUACACUCCAGGUGUCUCCUUGCCAGAUGUUUCACCUGCAUUGGUAAAAGGCAGAAUCCUCGGCAGGGGUCGGUGGCUCACGCUUGUAAUCCCAGCACUUUGAGACGCCGAGGCGGGUGGAUCACGAGGUCAGGAAUUCAAGACCAGCCUGGCCAAGAUGGUGGAACCCCGUCUCUACUAACAGCACAAAAAUUAGCUGGGCCUGGUGGCGCAUGCCUGUAAUCCCAGCUAAUGGGAAGGCUGAGGCAGAGAAUGGCUUGAACCCAGGAGGCAGAGGUUGCAGUGAGCCGAGAUCACGCCACUGCACUCCAGCCUGGGCGACAGAGCAUGACUCCAUCUCAAAAAAAAGAAAAGAAUCCUGGGAUGAGCUCCGCCCCCCCCACCAGCCGAGGGACAGGCCUGAGGUAUCCCCUCUAUUCUGGGGGGUCCAGAGUGGGUGCAGGCUCCUUUAAUAGGCACUGGAAUGUAGGGGACCCCAUCUCAGAGGAGUAGGAGAGAUACAGGCCAAAAAGCAGAGAGCUACAAGGGAGAGAACAAUCAUGAAGGAAAAGCCAGUUAGGUGAAUGGUUUUCAGUGAAGGAUGGGACGUGAACACGGGGCCCUGUGUGCUGGAGCUUCAGAAAAUGGGGUCAACCCCCAGGCACCUUUUCAGAUUCCUGCCUCCUCCCCACAGCCCUCUGUGCCCCUACCUCUGCUUUUUACCUAAGGCAGAACUUUGUUUUCCUCAAACGCCCACUUCCUUUCCUUAUCCCCCAAAUACACAAACCUUGCCUCUUCCUCUCCAGGGAAACGCUGACCAGUUUGUGUGAACGCCAUCACCCACACUCUUGAAAUAUAUCUGGAAAGUGCCGGAAGUGAACUGGGGGAUCCUUGCCUCCCAAAACAGGGAUGGGCUCUGAACGCCCCACCACGGCCUGCUGCCACGCGCGCCUCUCGCUGCAGGAGCGGUGGAUCCACCGAUGGGCUUCCAGGGCGGUCUUGCGCUUGAAGCCUUUCCCACACUCCACGCAGGGGAAGGGCCGGCUGUCGGAGUGAAUGCGCCGGUGACUGAGGAGGAGGGAAGAAUAGGUGAAGCGGCGGCCGCAGUCAGGACAGGGGUAGGGCUUCUCGCCGGUGUGUAUGCGCCUGUGGAUGGCCAGCAGGGAGGUGUAGGCGAAACGGAGGCUGCAAUCGGGGCAGCUGUAGGGCUUCUCGCCCGUGUGCUUGCGCUGGUGGAUGGCCAGCAGGUAGGGGUAAGUGAAGCGACUCUUGCAGUCUGAGCACGCGUAAGGCUUCUCCCCGGUGUGAGCCCGCCUGUGGAUAGCCAGGGAACCCCUCUGGCGGAAGCGGCGCCCGCAGUCGGGGCAGGGGUAGGGCUUCUCGCCGGUGUGGAUGAACUGAUGCUGGAGCAGGUACCUGCGCUGGGAGAAACGCGCCUGACACUGGCCGCAGGAGAAGGGCCGCUCCCCGGAGUGGACCCGCUGGUGGCUGGCCAGGAGGGAAGGGUAGCUGAAGUUGCGGCCACAGUCUGGGCAAGAGUGGGGCAGUCUUCGGGUCAGAGUGUCCUUGAGCCAGGGAUUCAUGGGGCUCUGCCUAGGGUUGCAGAACUCUGGGCAGGCGACGCUGGGCCACCACUCCUUGACAGCCACUUCAUGCGCCACCUCUUUUUGUUUUGGACACUUCUUCAGCCUUUCCUUCUCCUCAUUCCCAUCCCUGGAUCCUGAAACAGGGAAGAUGAUAAAAUCAGAAACUCAUCCCUGGAUCCUGAGACAGGAAAGAUGAUAAAGUCAAAACCAGCAUAUUCCGGGACCAUGUCCUGCCUUGGAAGGCAGCAGGAAUGGUUCAGAAUAUGGCGCCCAGGGAGCACGGCUUAAUGAUAGGGGCCUCAUGAAGCCCUGAAAGCCAGCCUGGAGUAAAAGCAAAUGCCAUGGUCUGCAGGUUAACACAAGAAGGCCCUGAGCACUGGAGAUAAUGAAAGAGGAGUCGGGCCGGGUGCCAUGGCUCACACCUGUUAUCCAAGCACUUCAGGAGGCUGAGGUGGGAGGAUCGCUUGAGGCCAGAAAUUCAAGGGACAGUGAGCUGUGAUCGGGCCACUGCACUCCAGCCUGGGCAACUCUCUAAUAAAAAAAAAAAAAAAUGCUGGGCGUGGUGGCCCAUGCCUGUAAUCCCAGCACCACUCUGGGAGGCUGGGGUGGGCAGAUCACCUGAGGUCAGGAGUUCGAGACCUGCCUGGCCAACAUGGGGAAACCUUGUCUGUACUAAAUUACAAAAAUUAGCCAGGCGAGGUGGUGGGCGCCUGUAAUCCCAGCUACUUGGGAGGCUGAGGCAGGAGAAUCCCUGGAACUGGGGAGGUGGAGGUUGCAGUGAGCCAACCUCGUGCCACUGCACUCCAGCAUGGGCGACACAGCAAGACUCAGUCUCAAAAAAAUAAAAAAAGAAAAAGGAGUGAACAAUAUUGAACGCUUAACUCUGUGUCAGGCUUUGAGGACACAGUGAUGGUCCCAGUCCUCAUGGCACUUACCAUCCUGAACCUGUUUAUGAUCCCUUUACAAAACAGCCAUUCAAUGACCUUCUUUGGUACCAGCUCAAAUUCUUUUGGCACCUUUCCUCUCUGCUCUUACCAUCACCAAAAAGUCUACACUUGCUGGUGGGGCACAGUGACUUACGCCUGUAAUCCCAGCACUUUGGGAGGCAGAGGCAGGUGGAUCACGAGAUCAGGAGUUCAAGACCAGCCUGGCCAAGAUGGUGAAAGCCCGUCUCUACUAAAAAUACAAAAAUUAGCUGGGCAUGAUGGCGGGUACCUGUAAUCCCAGCUACUCAGGAGGCUGAGGCAGGAGAAUUGCUUGAGCCUGGGAGGCGGAGGUUGCAGUGAGCCUAGACCAUGCCACUGUACUCCAGCCUGGGCAACAGAGCGAGACUGUCUCAAAAAAUAAGUCUACACUUGGACUGCCUCACUAGGUUCCACGGGAAGACCUUCUGGGAACAAGCAUUUAUUCUGGUAUCAGGGCUGCAGGAAAAACAUUUCUCUUCAUUUAAAAAUCUAAUUAAUGGUGUUAUUUACUACACGUGGUUCACAUCAUUAAUAUCCAAGAGGAACAUCUGUCUUCAUUUUAUCCCACAACAAAAAUCAAAUUACAGGUUUCCCCUUUCCCUUGACCUCCUAGGAAGCUCAAGCUCUAUUUUGCAUUAAACUGAGGUUUUCCAGUAUGGUUAAUCGGUUCCAUAGAUCCCAAUUUCGCUGUUCCAUCGGGCCAUUUUGCAGUGAGAUGAGGACGUUUCUGGGGUAGGGUGCAGGGAGACAGGAUGGGACUUUGGAGGGGGCAGCCUGCGCUGAGGAUGUGAGUGAGUUGGGGGCGGGGGUUGGGGCUUCUCCACGGCUACUUAUCCAAAUGAAGUACCUGCUUCCUGUCCUUGGCCCCUGCUGAAAGCUGCAGAGCUCUCACCGUCGGGAUCCUGGGCCUCCGGGCUCCACGCCUCCACUUCUCCUUCCACCCACGAGAUAAAAGCGGGUUUGGGAACUGAAAAUCCUGCGAAGGAGAAACAAUGGGCUCGGCUGAGCGCACGGGAGGGGAGAAUGAGACUGCUCCCUCGGCGCCCCGCUUCCAGCCCACUAGCCUCUGGGGACACCGAUCACCGCUUCCCACCGACGGACUGGGGGUCCCGGCCGGAGGGCCCGGCCUCACCCAGCGCGCCCAGGUGGCCGAAGGUCUCCCGCAUCACGUCCCGGUACAGGGCCCUCUGCGCUGGCCGCAGGCAUUCCCACUCCUCGGGAGAGAAGUACACGGCCACGUCCGCGAAGCUCACGGCGCCCGGCCUGCUUUCCCUCGUCCUCCGGGGCCCGGCCUCCCCGGGUACGUGGGCCGGGCGCGGCGCCAGGGGCGGCCCCAUGGGAAACCCUUUCUGCCUGGCAAAGGGAGGCUUCCGGGGAAGGUGGAGAUGCUGGCGCUUUCCUGUCUUUCCUCAGACAAGUCCGUAAGGGACUCCUGCCCUUAACCAAGAUGGAACCUUCCUGGCGUCAACACCCCUCGCCUUUCCUCUCUGCCUUUACACACCACGAGGGAAACCAGCGGGAAGGGUGGCCCCGCAACACCACUAACCGAUAGAUGGCGUACGUUGAUUGGACAGUGCCGGAAGGCCAGGAGAAGAAGGAAGGCUGUGAUUGGGCUUUUUUUUGGAGUGGCCUGUUUGAAAGGCUGAGGGUGAAGGAGCGACAGAUCUGAAAAUAGCCGGAGCUGAGGGGCCUCAGGGUCUACCCUGACUCGCUUUUCCCGGACGGUCUCCUAGGAGAGAGGCUGUGGCCAGCUGACGCGACUUCCUUCUGCUACUGAGGUGAGAAGUCUUAGGGCAGAUGCGGAUGUCCAGGGCUUCGAGGUGAGUAAAGGUGAAGCGCAAAGCCUUAGGCGGCGUGCACUGAGUGGGUAAGGGACUGCAGAUCCCAGCUUUGAGCUCUGAGUACUCCUGGCAGUGCCAGCCCGAGGGGCAGCGGGAACAGGAUCCUACCCAGGAUCUAAUUUGACCUUUGCCCCGAGGUCACAGAUGUCUUCCCUUAUAGAGAUGCAGAAGGCCAGGCGCAGAGCCCGGAUUCAAAGUCAGCUCCUAGCCGGGCGCGAUGGAGCGCGCCGGUGGUCCCAGCUCCUCGAGGGGCUGAGGCAGGAAGAUCGCCUGAACUCGGGAGGUGGAGGCUGCUGUGAGUCGAGAUCGCGCCCCCACACUCCAGGCUGGCGACAGAGCCAGGCGCCCAUCUCUAAAAACAAACAAAAGUCAUCUUCUCGCUUCCGGGUUCGGUUAAGGACUUAGGGUAGGGCCCUGCACAAAGUACUAUUAUAAUAGAUAUGAAUUUAUAGUGUUGUAGUUUUUUUUUUUUUUUUUUUUUUUUGAGAUGGAGUCUUGCUCUGUCGCCCAGGCUGGAGUGCAGUGGCGCGAUCUCGGCUCACUGCAAGCUCCGCCUCCCGGGUUCACGCCAUUCUCCUGCCUCAGCCUCCCGAGUAGCUGGGACUACAGGCGCCCGCCACCAUGCCCGCCUAAUUUUUUGUAUUUUUAGUAGAGACAGGGCUUCACCGUGUUAGCCAGGAUGGUCUCGAUCUCCUGACCUCGUGAUCCGCCCGCCUCGGCCUCCCAAAGUGCUGGGAUUACAGGCGUGAGCCACCGUGCCCGGAUGUGUUGUAGUAAUGUUUAAUACCAUCUGAGUCUUGUCUCAAUCAGAAAACGUGCUCAAAUUACAGCUGAUAUGUGAGUAAUAAAACUGGGAAACGAAUCAGAUAAUCUCUUAAGACCGUUUUUCAGCCCUUUCCAACCGAGUAUUCAUAGAAACAGAAGAGGAACGUUCUAGAUGUAUAACAAAAAGCUGCCCAUCCCCACAGUGAAACCACUUUGAAGACAUCACUUUAAAAUUCAUGUGAAUUCGGCCGGGUGUGGAGGCUCACACCUGUAAUCCCAGCACUUUGGGAGGCUGAGGUGUGUGGAUCACUUAAAGUCAGGAGUUUGAGACCAGGCAACAUGGUGAAACCCCAUCUCUACUAAAACAGAAAAAUUAGCCAGGUGUGGUAGUGCACCCCUGUAAUUCCAGCUACUUGGGGGGCUGAGGCAUGAGAAUCACUUGAACCCGAGAGACGGAGCUUGCAGUGAGCCGCAGUCGCGCCACUGCACUCCAUACUGGGUGACAGAGUGAGACUCCGUCUCAGAAAAGAAAAAAAAAAAUGUGAAUUCAGUUGGGUGUAGUGGCUCAGGCCUCAGGCCUGUAAUCCCAGCACUUUGGGAGGUCAAGGUGGGAGGAUCACGAGGCCAGGAGUUCGAGACCAGACUAAACAACAUAGCAAGACCUCAUCUCUAAAAAAAUAAAUAAAUAAAAAACAAAAACUUGUGUGAAUUUGCAUUCUAUUUUAUAAUAUAACCAAAUGAUCUCGGCCUUCACACCAUCUUCUUGGAAACCUCUGCACCAUGAGAGCCUAGUGGAGGAAGCGAAUGCGCAGGCUGAAGCGCAAAAGAAGAAAGAUGAGGCAGAGGUCCAAGUAAACCACAAGCUUAUGCACCCAUGGAGGCUACAGGAGCAGAAACAUGGAAUCCAGAGGCUGGGGAUGCUGGUACAGUUAUUGGGCUGCAUGCUACUGUCUAGAGCUUGUUUCAGUGCAUCUAGAACUUCAUCUCCAUCUGGUCGCCAAGACCACCUCUGAGACUCACCUUGCUCAUAACCAAAACUGCAUGUUGGUCCUUUGCUCCGGACCUGUGAUAUUCUGGACUAUUUCUGUGUUCACUGGUGGCCGAGUGUAACAACCAUAUAAUAAAUCACCUCUUCUGCUGUCUUAGCUGAAUAUAUAUAACCAAAUUCAAAAGAAUAUAUAGUCAAAAGCAAGUUUAUCAAGUGUUAUCCUCUUUUACACUACUGGUGGAGUGUGAAUUGGUGCAGCCGCUUUUGAAAACUGGCAGUACCUACUAAAGCUGAAUAGAUGUCAUACCCUAUGACCCAGUGAUUCCACUUGUAGGUGUAUACCCAACAGAUAUGCAUACAUAUGUUUACUCAAAGGCAUUUACUCAAAUGUUCUCCACACUUCUUAUAAUAGGUAAAAACUAGACCAGAUGCGGUGGCUCAUGCCUGUAAUCCCGGCACUUCGGGAGGCCGAGGUCAGCGGAUCACCUGAGGUCAGGAAUUUGAAACUAGCCUGGCCAACAUGGCAAAACCCCAUCUAAAAACACAAAAAUUAUCUGGGCGAGGUGGCAGGCGCCUGUAGGCCCGGCUACUCGGGAGGCUGAGACAGGAGAAUCACUUGAACCCAGGAGGUGGAGGUUGCAGUGAGCCAAGAUCACACCACUGCACUCUAGCCUGGGUGACAGAGCAAGACUCCAUCUCAAAAAAAAAAAAAAAAAAAAAAAGAUUCCGUUUCUAUAGUUUUUCUUUUUAAAAGACUCUGCAUGUAGGCUAGGCUGGUGGCUGAGGCCUGUAAUAUCAGUACUUUGGGAGGCUGAGGCUGGAUGAUCACUUGAGCUUAAGAAUUUGAGACCAGCCUGGGCAAUAUAGUGAGACACCAUCUCUACAAAAGCAAUUUUUUUUAAUAAGCCAGGCAUGGUGGUGUGCACUUGUGGUCCCAGCUACUCAGGAGGCUGAGAUGGGAGAACUGCUUGAGCCCAGAGGUCAAGGGUGCAAUAAGCCAUUAUCAUCAUGCCACUGCACUCCAGCCUGGGCAACAGAGCAAGACCCUAUCUCUAAAAUUAAAAAACAUAUGUAUAAAAACAGACAAAAUGUGGCCGGGCACGGUGGCUUAUGCCUGUAAUCCCAGAACUUUGGGAGGCCAAGGGGAGUGGAUCAUGAGGUCAGGGAUUCAGGACCAGCCUGGCCAAGAUGGUGAAACCCCAUCUCUAGUAAAAAUACAAAAAAUUAGCGGGGUAUGAUGGCGGGCGCCUGUAAUCCCAGCUACUCAGGCAGCUGAGGCAGAGAAUUGCUUGAACCCAGGAGGUAGAGGUUGCAGUGAGCCAAGAUCGCGCCACUGCACUCCAGCCUGAGCUAGACUCCAUCUCAAAAACAAAACAAAACAAAACAACAACAACAAAAAAACAGCAAACUUAAUCCAUGCUAUCAAAAAUCAGAGCCAGGUACGAUAAUAGAUGCUUCUAGGAUGCUGAUAAUAUUCUCUUUUUUUCUUUUUUUUUUUUAGAUGGAAUCUCCCUGUGUCACCCAGACUGGAGUGCAGCAGUGCAAUCUCAGGUCACUGCAACCUCCACCUCCUGGGUUCAGGAGAUUCUCGUGCCUCAGCCUCUGGAGUACCUGGGAUUACAGGCAGGUGCCACCAUGCCUGGCUAAGUUUUUUGUAUUUUUGGUAGAGACGGGGUCUCACAUGUUGCCCAGGCUGGUCUCGAACUCCUGGCCUCCUCUGAUCCACUGGCCUUGGCCUCCCAAAAUUCUGGGAUUACAGGCAUGAGAAUUGCUUGAGCCUGGGAGGCAGAGGUUGCAGUGAGCCGAGAUUGUGCCACUGCACUCCAGCCUGGGUAACAGAGUGAGACUCUGUCUCAAAAAAAAAAAAAGUUCACACUCCAGUGAUUUGCAUAUCAUAGUAAAAAGUAAUCUCUUGGGUCUCAUUUUUCAUUGUGUUUAGCGCAGUACCAUAAACCUUAAAUAACACCAUAGGACCCAUACAAAGUGCCACUAGUGAUGCUGGAAGUGCUCCCAAGAAGCAAAGAAAAGUCAUGACAUUUCAAGAAAAAGUUGAAUUGCUUGGUAUGUACCAUAGAUUGAGGUCUGCAGCUGCAGUUGCCCACCAUUUCCAGAUAAAUUGAUCCAGUAUAAGAACCACUGUAGUGGCCUGUAGUCCCAGCUACUCGGGAGGCUGAGGCAGGAGAAUGGCGUGAACCCGGGAGGCGGAGCUUGCAGUGAGCCGAGAUGGCGCCACUGCACUCCAGCCUGGGCCACAGAGCGAGACUCUGUCUCAAAAAAAAAAAAAAAAAAAAAAAAAACCACUGUAGCUGGGCGCGGUGGCUCACGCCUGUAAUCCCAGCACUUUGGGAGGCCGAGGCUGGUGGAUCACCUGAGGUUUUCCAGUAUGGUUCAUCGGUUCCAUAGAUCCCCUGUAAUUCCAGUUACUGGAGAGGGUGAGGCAGGGGAAUCGCUUGAACUCAGGAGGCAGAGGCUGCGGUGAGCCGAGAUGGCGCCAUGGGACUGGGCAACAAAAGUGAAACUCCAUCUAAGAAAAAAAAAAAAAGGCACAAAGGACAUUUAGUAGUAAGGAAGAGAAGCAAGCACCAGGAUUUACAACAGGAAGGGAUAAGCUAACUCCACUGUUUUGUGCAGAUGCAGUCAGGUUUAUUAUCAGUACGUCCCUUAUCUAUAAAGGUGCUUAUCCUUGAGCCUUGAAGGGAAAAGAGAAAUACUAGCUUGCAGUCUUCUGGGUGUACAACAAAAAAGGCCUGAACAACAAUAAUCUUUUUCUGGAUGGGGUACAUCUGUGCUUUGUCCCUGAAGUCAGGAAGUACCUGGCCGGUAAAGGCCUGCCUUUCUCCAUUGGCCUUUACCAUCUUAUUUUAUUUUUAUUUAUUUUGUUUGUUUACUUAUUUAUUUAUUUUUGAGAUGGAGUCUCACUCUGUCACUAGGCUGGAGUGCAGUGGUGCAAUCUCAGCUCACUGCAACCUCCACCUCCCGGGUUCAAGCGAUUCUCCUGCCUCAGCCUCCCGAGUACCUGGGAUUAGAGACAUGCACCACCAGGCCCAGCUAAUUUUGUGCUUUUAGUAGAGACAGGGUUUCAGCAUGUUGGCCACGAUAGUCUCGAUCUCUUGACCUCGUGAUACACCCGCCUCAGCCUCCCAAAGUGCUGAGAUUACAGGCGUGAGCCACCGCACCAGGCCUUUACUUAUUUAUUUAUUUAUUUAUUUAUUUAUUUAUUUAUUUAUUUGAGAUGGAGUCUCACUCUGUUGCCCAGGCUGGAGUGCAGUGGCACAAUCUCAGCUCACUGCAACCUCUGCCUCUGGGGGUUCAAGCAAUUCUCCUGCCUCAGUCUCCCGAGUAGCUGGGACUCAAGCACACACCACCAUGCCCAGCUAAUUUUUGUGUUUUUAUUCGAGACGAGGUUUCACCAUAUUGGCCAGGCUGGUCUCGAACUCCUGAGCUCGUGAUACGCCCGCUUCGGCCUCCCAAAAUGCUGGGAUUACAGGUGUGAACCGCUGCACCCAGCCCACCAUCUCAUUUUAUUAAAGGGAAAUUAAAGCACAAGGAAAUACAGACCAUGACUGACAGGUUAGAGCCACUAGAUUUCUGUCUGCAGCCACAGAUCUUCCUUCCCAGGCAUCCACUGCCUGCAGCUAGAGAGUCUAGUCUGUGUUCCUCACAACACCAUUAUCAGAUGGGGUCCCUCAGAUGGUGAGAUGCACAAGCCACUGGCAUGUCACUUAGACUCUGCCCAAUUUGGACAAAUUUUAUCAAACUCUGGUUGUGUUUCAUUUGCUGGUUCAUUAUAAGGAUAUUACAAAGGAUAUAGAUGAAGAGAUGUAGUGGGUGAGAUAUGGGGGAAAGGGAGCAGAGAUUCCAUGCCCUCCCUAGGUAUGCAUGCUACCCCUCUAGGAACCUCCACAUGUUCACCUAUCUGGAAGCUUUUAUUUUUUUUUUUUGAGACGGAGUUUCGCUCUUGUUGCGAGGCUGGAGUGCAAUGGCAUAAUCUCGGCUCACUGUAACCUCCACCUCCUGGGUUCAAGCAAUUCUUCGGCCUCAGCCUCCCGUGUAGCUAGGAUUACAGGCGCACGCCACCAUGCCUAGCUAAUUUUUGUACUUUUAGUAUAGACAGGAUUUCACCAUGUUGGCCAGGCUGGUCUUGAACUCCUGACCUCAGGUGUGCCACCCUCCUUGGCCUCCCAAACUGCUAGGAUUACAGGCGUGAGCCACCGUGCCCGGCCGGGACUGCCUUUUAAAGUUAUUUUGAUAUUGGACAAUGCCCCUGGCCACCCAGAACCCCAUGAAUUCAACACCUUUGGUGGUGAAGUGGCCUACUUACCCCCAAACACAACACUUCCAAUUCAGCCUAUAGAUCAAGUUGUCAUAAAGAUCUUUAAGGCUCAUUACACAUGGUACUCUAUGGAAAGGAUGGUCAACCCUAUGGAAGAGAACCCCAUCAUGAAAGUCUGGAAGGAUUACACCACUGAAGACACCAUCGUUGUUAUAGAAAAAGCUGUGAAAGCCAUCAAACCUGAAACAGAUUCCUACAGGAGAAAACUGUAUCCAAUAGUGCGACUACUAGAGAAAACUAUGCCCAGAUACUAGGUGUUACUUCAUAGGAAAUUAUGACAAGAGCCAAUCAAGGAAAUCACGAAAGAGACUGUGAAUAUGGCAAAAAAAAAAAAAAAAAAAAAAAAAAAAAAAAUUUAGGGGGUGAAGGAUUUCAAGACAUGGAUUUUGGAGAAACUGAAGAGCUAAUAGACACCAUACCAGAGGAAUUAGAAUACAACUUGGUAGAGAUGAGUGCUUCUGAACCAGUGCCAGAUGAUAAGGAAGAUGGAAAGGGGCAGUGCCAGAAAACAAAUUGACAUUAGACAAUCUGGCAGGAGGGUUUCCGUCAUUUAAGACUGCUUUUGACUUCUUUUAUGACUUAGACCCUUCUAAGAUAUGGGCACUGAAACUAAAGCAAACAGUAGAAGAAGGAUUGGUACUGUAUAGAAAUAUGUCUAGAGAAAUGAAAAAGCAAAAAAAGUCAUUUUUUGAUGUACUUAUGAUGUAUUAUGAAAUUAUGAUGUAUUUCCAGAAAUUAUGAUGUAUUUCCAUAAAGUUGCACCAGUGUGCCUGCCUCUUCUGCUCCCCCUUCGCCCUUCUCCACCUCUUCUGCCUCUGCCACCCUUGAAACAGCAAGACCAACCCUUCCUCCUCUUCUUCCUCAGACUGCUCAACAUGAAGAUGAUGAUGAUGAAGAGUUUUAUGAUGAUCCACUUCCACUUAAUGAAUAGUAAAUAUAUUUUCUCUUCCUUAUGAUUUUCUUAAUAACAUUUUCUUUUCUCUAGCUUACUUUAUGAUAAGAAUACACUACAUAAGCCAGGCGUGGUGGCAUGCGCCUGUAGUCCCGGCUACUCAGGAGGCUGAGGCAGGAAGAUCACUUGAGCUGAGGAGUUUCGGGCUGCAGUUGAGCUAUGAUCACGUCACUGCACUCCAACCUUCGUGACAGAGCAAGACCCAUCUCUAAAUUAAAAAAAGAAAAAAGGUGGGGGGAGAGAGUACAGUAUAUGAUAUAUAUGACAUACAAAAUAUGUUUUUGUUUUUUUCUUUUUGAGACAGGGUCUGGCUCUGUCACCCAGGCUGGAGUGCAGUGGCUACCAUCCUGGCAACCUCUGCCUCCUGAGCUCAAGCCAUCCUCCUACAUUAGCCUCCCAAGUAGCUGGGAAUACAGGUACAUGCCACCAUGCUUGGCUAAUUUUUUAAUUUUUUGUAGAAGCGGGGUUUCACCUUGUUGUCCAGGCUGGUCUCGAACUCCUGAGCUCAAGCAGUCCUCUCGCCUCAGCCUCCCAAAGUGCUGGGAUUACAGGCGUAAGCCCAAAAAAGUAUAUAUGUAUUUAAAUAUUUACUAUCUGAUUUUUUUUUUUUAGGACAAGGUCUGGCUCUGUCACCCAGGCUGGAGUGCAGUGGUGAGAUCUCGGCUCACUGCAACCUCCACCUCCCAAGCUCAAGCAAUCCUCCUGGCUCAGCCUCAGCUGGGAUUACAGGCAUGCGCCAUGGCACCCAACCCCAAAACAUGUUUUAAUUGACUAUUUAUGUUAUUGGUAAGGCUUCCAGUCAACAGUAGUUAAGUUUUGGGGAGUCAAAAGUUAGUGGAGGCCGGGCUUGGUGGCACAUGCCUGUAAUCCCAGCUACUCGGCAGGCUGAGGCACAGGAAUUGCCUGAACGCAGGUGUAAGAGAUUGCAGUCAGCCGAGAUUGUGCCACUUCACUCCAGCCAGGGCCAAACAGCAAAACUCCAUCUCAAAAAAAAAAAAAAAAAAAGGCAGAAUAGAUGUUACUAGAGGCUAGAAAGGGAAGGGUAGGGGCAAGGGUGGGAUAGGGAAAAAUUUGUUAAUGGACAUAAAAUUAUUAGCUAUAUUGGAGGAAUAAGUUCUAGUGUUUUAUAGCACCGUAGGAUGACUAUAGUUAACAAUAAUAUACUAUAUAUUUUCAAAUAGCUAGAAGAGAAGAUAUUGAAUGUUCCUAACACAAAGAAAUAAUAAAUGUUUUAAAUGAUGGGUAUGUUAAUUGCCCCGAUUUGAUCACUACACAUCAUAUGUAUAGAAACAUCACCACAUACCCCAUAUUUAUGUAUAGUUAUUAUGUAUGAAUUAAGAAGAAUAAUGGACCCCAAAGAUUUCACAUCCUAAUCUGCAAAACCUUUGAUUGUGUUACCUUAUAUUAGCAAAUAGGACUUCGCAGAUGUGAUUAAACUAAGGAUUUUGAGUUAGGAACACUAACCUGUUGAGUCUAAUGUAAUCACAAUGGUCCUUAUAAAAGGGAGGCAAGAGGGUAAAAGUCUGAGAAGGAUAUGUGACAACAAAAGCAGAGGUGGAGUGAUGCAGUUGCUGGAGAGGGGCCACUAGCCAAGGAAUGCAGGCAGCCUCUAGAAGCUGGAAAAGGCAAGAAACAGAUUCUCCCUAGAGCCUCUAGAAAAGGAAUGCAGCCCUGCCAACACCUUGAUUGUCCCAUAAGACCUAUUUUCAGACUUUAGACCUGAAGAACUAUAAGACGAUAAAUUUGUGUUGUUUUCAGCCACCAGUUUCUAGUAAUUUCUUACAGUAACAAAUGAACACAGAUAACAUUGUUGAGGAGCAUUUCUGAGUUUGUCAACUACUCUAUUGAUGUGGGAGCACUCUCCCAGCUCUGAACUCAAGAAAGUCUAAAAAGAAGUAGGACUCAGAGACAUUAUGCUGAAUAAAAGAAGCUUUAGACAAAAAAAAAAAAAAAAAAAAAUACACACUGUAUGAUUCCAAUUAUAUGAAGUUUUAUAACAGGGAACACUAAUUAGAAUAGUAGUUGUCUCUGGUGGGGUGGGAAUGGGAAUUGACUAGGAAGGGGCAUAAGGCAACUUUCUUUCUUUUCUUUUCUUUUUUUUUUUUUGAGACAGAAUCUCACUCUGUCGCCAGGCUGGAGUACAGCGGCAGAAUCUCAGCUCACUGCAAUCUUUGACUCCCUGGUUCAAGCGCUUCUCCUGCCUGAGCCUCCCUAGUAGCUGGGAUUAUGGGCACAUGCCACCAUGCCCAGCUAAUUUUUGUAUUUUUAGUAGAGACGGGGUUUCACCAUAUUGGCCAGGAUGGUCUCGAACUCCUGACCUCGUGAUCUGCCUGCCUCAGCCUCCCAAACUACUGGGAUUACAGGCAUGAGCCACUGUACCCAGCCACAUGAGGCAACUUUCUAGGAUGAUGGUAAUGUUAUGUAUUUGGAUAGGGGUUUCAGUUACAGAUGUAUACGUCUUUGUCAACACUCAGCAAAUAUACACUUAAAGUUUGUGCAUUUUAUGUACUUUUAACUCAAAAAAUAUAUAAAACAAACGUGGAGCUCUAGUUAAUGAUAUGCAUGUUGAAAUGUUUACGGGUGAAGUGUACUGAUUUCAGCAAUUUUUUUUACAUGCACCCAAAAACAAAGUGUACUGGUAGAGUAACUGAUAGUUACAUGAUAAAGCAGAUACACUAAAUGUUAGUGAUAGAAUCUAGGUGGUGAGUAUAUGGGUAUUCUCUGUAAAAGUCCUUCAACUUUACUGUGUCUUUCAAAACUUUUAAAAUGAAUGGUGGCUGGGUGCAGUGGCUCACACCUGUACUCCUAGCACUUUGGGAGUCUGAGGCAGGUGGAUCGCCUAAGGUCAGGAGUUUGAGACCAGCCUGGCCAACAUUGUGAAACUCCAUCUCUACUAAAAAUACAAAAAUUAGCUGGGCAUGGUAGCUCAUGCCUGUAAUCCCAGCUACUCUGGGAGGCUGAGGCCCGAGAAUCGCUUGAACCUGGGAAGUGAAGGUUGUAGUGAGCCAAGAUCGCACCAUUGCACUCCAGCCUGGGCAAUGGAGUGAGACUUCAUCUCAAAAGAAAAAAAAAAGCAAAACCACUAUUGAGAAUGAAAAGACACUCCACAGAAUGGGAGAAAAUAUUUGUAAAUCAUGUGUCUAAUAAGGGAUUAAUAUUCAGAAUUUAUAAAUAACUCCGGUAACUCAACAACCACUAAAAAAUAAAAACCCAAUUUAAAAGCAGGCAAAGAGGCUGGGCACGGUGGCUCACACUGUCAUCCCAGCACUUUGGGAGGCCAAGACAGGCAGAUCACUUGAGGCCAGAAAUUCGAGACCAGCCUAGCCAACAGAGAUGAUGAAACUCCAUUUCUGCUAAAAAUACAAAAAUUAGCCGGCAUUGUGGCACAGACCUGUAAUCCCAGCUACUCAGGAGGCUAAGGCAUGAAAAUCACUUGAGCCUGGGAGGUGGAGGGUGCAGUGAGCCAAAAUGGCACCACAGCAUUCCAACCUGGGCAACAGAGCAAGACACCACUCAAAAAAAGAAUUAAAAAAAAAAAAGAUGAAAGCAGGCAUAGGAUUUAUAUAGACAUUUCUCCAAAGAAGAUAUACAGAUGAGCUGGGCGUGGUGACUCACGCCUGUAAUCCCAGCACUUUGGGAGGCUGAGGCAGGUGAAUCACCUGAGAUCAGGAGUUCAAGACCAGCCUGGCCAACAUGGUGAAACCCCAUCUCUACUAAAAAUACAAAAAAAAAAAAAAAUUAGCCGGGCGUGGUGGCGCACGCCUGUAAUCCUAGCUACUUGGGAGGCUGAGGCAGGAGAAUUGCUUGAACCUAGGAGACAGAGGUUGCAGUGAGCCGAGAUCUUGCCGUUGCACUCCAGCCUGGGCAACAGAGUAAGACUCUAUCUCAAAAAUAAUAAAUGAAUAAACACACAAACAAACAAAUAAUAAAUAAUUAUCACUUUUUUGCAUUUUCCCAAUUUCUUUACUGAUUAUUUUUGGGAUUUGGAAAAAACAUAAGGCCGGGCGAGGUGGCCCACACCUGUAAUCCCAGCACUCUAGGAAGCCAAGGCAGGAGGAUUGCUUGAGCCCAGGAGUUCGAGACCAGCCUGGGCAACAUGGAGAAACCUCAUCCCUACAAAGAAUACAAAAAAAUUAGUUGGGUGUGGUGGCACAUGCCUGUGGUCCCAACUACUCAGGAGGCUGAAGCAGGAGGAUCACUUGAGCUCAGGGAAGUAGAAGCUGCAGUGAGCCAUGAUCACACAACUGCACUCCAGCCUGGGCCACAGAGCAAGACUCUUUCUUGCUGGGAAGGAAUUCUCACAUGUACGCACUAGCAGAAGCCACAAGCGGCACCAGGAAGACUAGAAGAAUGCGGGGCAUGAAAGCUAAGUUACAAGAGAGCUUAAGUAGGAAAACUAAGGUAUGUAAGAUAAAAAUUGAAGCACUGAUUUGUUAACUAGGUCAUCAGUUAUCUUAAAGGACAGUCUUAGAAUAAUUGCAUGGCAGCUGACUUUACAGUCACCCAGAUAUGUGAUCCUGGACAAGUUAUUUAUUUUUUUUUAAAUUUUUUGAGAUGGAGUUUUGCUCUUGUUGCCCAGGCUGGAGUGCAAUGGCGCAAUCUCGGCUCAUUGCAACCUUUGCCUCCCGGGUUCAAGUGAUUCUCCUGCCUCAGCCUCCCAAGUAGUUGAGAUUACAGGCAUGUGCCACCAUGCCUGGCUAUGUUUUUGCAUUUAGUAGAGACGGGAUUUCACCAUGUUGGUCAGACCGGUCUCGAACUCCUGACCUCAGGUGAUCCACCCGCCUCGGCCUCCCAAAGUGCUGGGAUUAUAGGCGUGCACCCUGUGCCCGGUCGACAAGCUAUUUAAUGUCACUGUGCCUCUGUUUCCUCAUCUGGUCAAGGAAAACAAUACCUACAGUCAGAUCUGGAAUUUGAGGCUGCCCUACUUAUAGGUUAAUAAAUGGGUCUGUUAUUGUUUCAUGGAUGCUGUCAGAAAACAGAGACAAAAGACCUUACUGUUCAGGGCACAACAAGCAGCAUGAGCAUGCCUGCAUUGGUUCCCUUCUGCCCCCUGCAGGGGCAAUGUGGGAUGUGCCCAGAUGGAUGCUAGACACACAGUGAGUUGCAUCAUAGGGGAGGAACAGGAAGCUCCUGCUGUUUUUUUCCUUUUUAAAGAUGGGAUUUGGCUGGGAGCGGUGGCUCACGCCUGUAAUCCCAGCACUUUGGGAGGCCAAGGCAGGCAGAUCACCUGAGGUCAGGAGUUCGAGACCAGCCUGACCAACAUGGUGAAACCCUGUCUCUACAAAAAUACUAAAAUUAGCUGGGCAUGGUGGCAGGUGAGUGUAAUCCCAGCUACUUGGGAGGCUGAGGCAGGAAAGUUGCUUGAACCCAGGAGGUGGAGGUUGCAGUGAGCCAAGAUCACGCCACUGCACUCCAGCCUGGGUGACAAGAGUGAGACUCCUUCUCUAAAUAAAUACAUAAAUAAAUAAGAUGGGGUCUUGCUAUGUUGGCCAGGGUAGUCUCAAACUCCUGGCCUCAAGCAAUCCUCCUGCCUUGGCCACCAAAAGUUCUGGGAUUACAGUUGUGAGCCACCAUGCCCAGCCAUCUGCUGUUUUAUAGUAAGCAGUAAGGAAGCUGCUCUUUGUCCUGGAUGCAGACAUUACCUCUCCCUCAAGGUUUGCUUGCUGCCAACACUCCUGAGAAUUGUUCUGGGUAAUGAGUGGCAAGGGCUUUGCUUAUUUAUUUUUAUUUAUUGGUUAUACUUACAUUUAUGGUUUAUUAAAGCAAAACGACACAGAUUUAAAAUCAUCAAAGGGAUAAGGUACAUGGGACAAAAUCCGGAUGCAACCGGGCACAAACUUUCAGGUGUCUACUCCCAGUGGGGUAUCACAGGGACGUGCUUUUUUCUCCCUGCAAUGAUUUUUGACAACAGGUGCUGAUUGUUCCCAAACAGAGAAGUUCACCCAAGCUUUAGGGUGCAGGGUUUUUUUGUUUGUUUGUUUUGGUUUUUUGUUUGUUUGUUUGUUUGUUUAGAUAGUCUUACUUUUGUUGCCCAGGCUGGAGAGCAAUGGUGCGAUCUCAGCUUACUGCAACCUCCACCUCCCAGGUUCAAGCAAUUCUCCUGCCUCAGCCUCCCAAGUAGCUGGGAUUACAGGUGUGUGCCACCACCUGGCUAAUUUUGUAUUUUUAGUAGAGACGGGGUUUCACCACGUUGGCCAGGCUGGUCUCAAACUCCUGACCACAGGUGAUCCACCCACCUCGCGCUCCCAAAGUGCUGGGAUUACAGACGUGAGCCACCGCGCCCGGCCAUGUGUGGGGUUUUUAUUGGGGAUUAGUCACAUAGGCUUGGAGUGUCCAUACUACUGAUCUCUGCUACUCAGACCCCAGAGCAAAAAACAAUGUUCACUAUAAAUCACACUUAGGAUAAACUUAUUUGUUCAGACUGGUACAGCAUGAUGGCAUGCUGUAUGCCAAGACCUCUGGCAUACAAAAACACUAAUCAAAUAAAAUAUUCCACGGGCUCAGAAGUUAUUUCCCAGGAGCAGACCAAAUGCCAGUUCUAAAGAUGAGCUUUCUUUGGAAUGUGCAGGGUUUGAACAACCUACACCUCCUGAGUUAACCCAUUCCUACACACACCUGAUCCCAUGAGUCCAUUGUACCUGGUAAACUAAAUUUUGUAUCUCUUAGAAUUAAAAUUAGUUUAGGUCCAAUGUCAACAAAUCUCUGGAAACUCUAGUUACUUCCCCUUCUCUGAUGCUCACAGUAGCAGUAGUCUACAUUCACUGAACCCACUUGUUUAUUCUUUGGCCCACUGCAGUAUUAAUAGACACUUGACUGAGCUUUCAUGAUGUGCCAUGUACUGAGUUAAGCACUUUAUAUACAUUCCAAUCUAAUGUGCUUGCUAAAUGGCUGCAGGUACACUUGGAAAAGGCUAGAAGCUCUACAGCAUGUUUUUGUCAGUGUAGAACUGACAUCAAGUCCUUCAUCAAGGGAACCCAGCCUCCCCAGAUCUAGAGAAGGGGAGACUCUAGAUCUGUGAAUAGGCUCAAGUCUGAGAAUCUGUUGAAGGCAGGGACUUGCAAUUUUUGCCAACUCAACAAGAUGUGAAGGCAGGACUUGCCGAGAUGGAUCGGAAGUCAACAUGAGUGGGCACGCUGGUCAAUUUGGAGUCACAGCAGGGAGACUCAUGGAGGAGUGUCUGUUAACACCUACUUUAUAGAGUUCUUGUGAACAUUGGAUUGGAAUGUAUAUAAAGUGCCUAACACAGUACAUGGAACAUCAUAAAAGCUCAGUCAAGUGGCUAUUAAUAUUGCAGUAGGCCAAAGAAUAAACAGAAGUGGAUUCAGGCCAGGUGCAGUGGCUCACACCUGUAAUCCCAGCAGUUUGGGAAGCUGAGGCAGGCAGAUCACUUGAGGUCAGGAGUUUGAGAACAGCCUGGCCAACAUGGUGAAACCCCGUCUCUACUAAAAAUACAAAAAUUAGCUGGGUGUGAUAGCAUACACCUGCAGUCUCAGCUACUCAGGAGGCUGAGGCACAGAAUCACUUGAACCUGGGAGGAGGUGGAGGCUGCAGUGAGCAGAGAUCGUGCCACUGCACUCCAGCCUGGGUGACAGAGUGAGGCUCCAGCUCAAAAAAAGAAAGAAAAGAAAAAAGUGGAUUCAGUGAAUGUAGGCUACUGCUUCAAGGCAUUUAGCUGAAAAUAAUAGGGAUCAAGAGAAAAGUUCUUUUUUAUUGUUUUAAAGGCAGAUCUUAGCAUGCUUAUAGGCUGGAGUGUCUUUGGGACAAGAAAGGGAAUCUGAAACCAUAAAACUAGGAGACGAGAAAGUAGGAAUAAUAGAGCAAAGUCCCUGAGGGGCAGAAGGGGAUGAAACCCAGGCCCAGCUGUGUUGCUGAACAUUGUAUAUCCAGGACUUGCUGAGAUGGAUCAGAAGUAAAUAUGAGUGGGCACACUGGUCAAUUUGGAGUAAUGGCAGGGAGCAGAAUGUUAAAGAAGCUCCUAUUUGACCCCUUGUAUUUUCCUAGUGAAAGCGGAGGUAUUUACUGGUUAAAAAUAUAUGGAAUGGGCAGGGAGCAGUGGCUCACACCUGAAUUCCCAGCACUUUGGGAGGCUGAGGCAGGUGGAUCAUGAAGUCAGGAGAUCGAGACCAUCCUGGCUAACAUGGUGAAAUCCUGUCUCAACUAAAAAUACCAAAGAUCAGCCGGGUGUGGUGGCAGGCACCUGUAGUCCCAGCUACCAGGGAGGCUGAGGCAGGAGAAUCACUUGAACCCAGGAGGAGGAGGUUGCAGUGAGCUGAGAUCACGCCACUGCAUUCCAGCCUGGGCGACAAAGCAAGACUCCAUCUCAA
RNAcentral lists this long non-coding RNA (29147 nucleotides) under Homo sapiens (human). Its description in RNAcentral is "HSALNT0385326". The stretch from base 24565 to 24712 matches the Rfam family "Metazoan signal recognition particle RNA". The record is from RNAcentral. Lineage: Eukaryota; Metazoa; Chordata; Mammalia; Primates; Hominidae.